RNAcentral lists this ribosomal RNA (361 nucleotides) under Ambispora leptoticha. RNAcentral's name for it is "partial large subunit ribosomal RNA". Lineage: Eukaryota; Fungi; Glomeromycota; Glomeromycetes; Archaeosporales; Ambisporaceae. The record is from RNAcentral.
AGAGUUAAACAGUACGUGAAAUUGUUGAAAGGGAAACGAUUGAAGCCAGUCGUGCUGGCGGGAAAUCAGCUUUCGGGAUUACUGGAGGUGCACUUUCUCGCAAGGCAGGUUAGCAUCAAUUUCGCACGUUGUAAAAAGUCCGUCGGAAUGUGGCUCUGAUUUCGGUUGGAGUGUUAUAGCCAGCGGUCAAUGCGACGGGUGGGAUUGAGGAUUGCAGCGGGUGCCUUUUAGGCUAAGUGCCUGGCCCUUGUUCGUGAUCAUCUUGGCAACAGCGUGCUGGUGUUGAGAACGAUUCGUGGACACGGGGUGUAGCGUCACGGUAAACUCGUUAAGGAUGUUGACGUAAUGGCUUUAAACGACC